CCUACGGGAGGCAGCAGUGGGGAAUAUUGCACAAUGGGCGAAAGCCUGAUGCAGCCACGCCGCGUGAAGGAAGAAGUCUUUCGGUUUGUAAACUUCUAUCAGCAGGGAAGAAAAUGACGGUACCUGUAUCAGAAGCCCCGGCUCAUUACGUGCCAGCAGCCGCGGUCAUACGUCGGGUGAGAGCGUUCAUCGGAAUUACUGGGCGUAACGCGCUCGUUGGCGGUAUGUCAAGUCAAGGGUGAACUCCCCGCGCUCAACGUGGGAACUGCCUUUGAAACUGGCAAACUGGAGUGUGUGAGAGGAGAGUGGAAUGACAGGGGUAGGAGUGAAAUGCGUAGAUAUCUGGAGGAACAUCAGUGGCGAAGGCGACUAUCUGGCACAUAACUGACGCUGAGGAGCGAACGCGUGGGUAGCAAACAGGAUUAGAUACCCCAGUAGUC
This 440-nucleotide ribosomal RNA is filed under the name uncultured bacterium. Its description in RNAcentral is "partial 16S ribosomal RNA". It matches the Rfam family "Bacterial small subunit ribosomal RNA", at positions 338 to 795 of the family's 1533-position model. The record is from RNAcentral.